Molecule: transfer RNA, 80 nt
Filed under: Ipomoea nil (Japanese morning glory)
Lineage: Eukaryota; Viridiplantae; Streptophyta; Magnoliopsida; Solanales; Convolvulaceae
Rfam family: tRNA
About the family: Transfer RNA (tRNA) molecules are approximately 80 nucleotides in length. Their secondary structure includes four short double-helical elements and three loops (D, anti-codon, and T loops). Further hydrogen bonds mediate the characteristic L-shaped molecular structure. tRNAs have two regions of fundamental functional importance: the anti-codon, which is responsible for specific mRNA codon recognition, and the 3' end, to which the tRNAs corresponding amino acid is attached (by aminoacyl-tRNA synthetases). tRNAs cope with the degeneracy of the genetic code in two manners: having more than one tRNA (with a specific anti-codon) for a particular amino acid; and 'wobble' base-pairing, i.e. permitting non-standard base-pairing at the 3rd anti-codon position.
Source: Rfam by way of RNAcentral
GACGGUUUGGCCGAGUGGUCUAAGGCGCCAGAUUUAGGCUCUGGUCUGAAAGGGCGUGGGUUCAAAUCCCACAGUUGUCA